This 17685-nucleotide long non-coding RNA is filed under the name Octopus vulgaris (common octopus). Lineage: Eukaryota; Metazoa; Mollusca; Cephalopoda; Octopoda; Octopodidae. The record is from RNAcentral.
CAUCAGACUGCACCUAGCAAAUUCACUUCCAAGGCACAAGUCUGGGCAUGGUUUUUUUGUGGAAGACCAGUAGUUGCCUAUGCAUACCAGUCUCCCCUCUUCAUGCCACCAAUAUUGUCCAAAGGAAAGGCAAAGGCCAACUUGGCACCAAUGACAUCACAACUCAUUUCUAUAGCUGAGUGAACUGGAGCAACAACUUGAGGUAUGGCAUCAAUACUUAUUUAAAUGUCUUUAUUAAUCUUUAUUUGUUACUAAGAGGAAUACAUUUCUCACCCAAUAAUCAUUAUUCAAUCACAUUCCCUUCAUACCAGUGUAGUCGUCUCUUCAGUAAAUAUUGUCAAAUAUAUUUAAUGCAGUAUUACUACACAAUUAUGCAAAUUAACAAGACAAUCACAAAUGAUCACCCAAGACAUUUAGUCUCUAAUUUCUGUAGGUCUUCUGUGUUGAACAAAUAUGUCUUACAACCAUACUGUGAAGCAUUACAUUUCUUUUACAUGAUUGCAAUAGAUUAAGAAUAUAUUAUGUUCAGCAUAUUAUACACCUCACUGUUGACUUUGUAAUCCAAAUUCAUGUCACUGACUCCAUAGUUUCUCUUAGUUCCUUUUCGUUUUAAUCAAUGUGUGCAUGCAUGCACACACACAUUUGUGUGUGCACGCGCACGCGUGUGUUUCCCUGCAUUUACACUUCUCUGAAUAUUAUUUAGCUAAAAGUUGUGUGUAAUGUCAUUUUGUCUUGCUUGUGAACAGAUUAGUCACUGGUUCUGUAAUUUCAAAGAGGUGUCGAAUAAGAAAUUUGUUAUUCGAAAAUCUGUUAUGGAUUAGUGACAGGAAGGGCAUCCAUCUGUAAAACAAUAACUAAAAAAUAUAUUCAUCUAACCCAUGCUAGCAUAGAAAAACAAAUGCAUAAAUGAACAAACACAUAUAUAUGAAUACAGAAAAAGUGGUUAACACUACCUACUUUUUGUGUGUAGGGAGAAACUGUUUUUCACUCUAGAGUAAACGUCCCCUAAAUGUCUUAGACUAAAUUUAUAUACUUAUCUCUAUAACUACUUCUGGCAUGAAUUUGGUCAUCCAAAUAAUGAAAACUGCCUACAGCUUUUAGUGAACCAUCUGGGCAAAUCAAAGACUUUGUUUUUCAGGGAGUAUUCUAUGCAUCACCCAGGGAAUCUCUUGCAUAUUUUGUGCAUACAUUGUUUCUUAUUAAGGACAAUAUUUAAAUUUUAUUGUCCUAUUGUAUAUGAAGCAGGGCCACUGCUCAGAUGACAUUUUGUGAUUUCUGAUAUAAUUGGUCUUUUUGUCUUUAACAUAUUGAGAUUUAGGUUCUGAAAUUAUUUAUACUUCCUAGUUUGGAUCUGUACUUUGAGCACUUUGAUGGAUAUUGCUAUGAGAGCCAAGUUAUCAACAUGAUUAAUAUUGUAUUUUUUCAUUAAGAAUAUUUCAACUUCUGACUUACACACACUGUCUCUUCACUUUAUCUUUCAUACUGGUAUUAUUUAUGACCUUUGGUCCUCUGAGAAGCUUCACUUAAUCCAAUUCAUCCUUCCUCUCCUCAUUACCCAUAUUAUGUUCCUAUCUUCCCACUUCAGACUCUACUCUAAUACUUACCCAAUCCUUUUUUCCAAGCGAGUUAUCCUUCUAGAAUACCCUCUUCACCCAUGUUUCUCCUGCUGUCAUUAAAUUACAAUCAUUCAAAAAGAGCAUCAACCUUAUCAAGCUCACCAAUCUUGGAAGGUCUGAAAAGAUCAUGAAUGUAGUCCUUUCCUUCUAACCAAAUCAUUAAAAAAGAAAAAAGUCAAUAUUCUUUUCUGUAAUGAAAAAAGUCUAAGUAUAUUGAACAUAUAUAUUUUAUUCAUACUAGAAAGAGAAGACAAGUAAAGAUGGUUCAGCUAAGUUGAUCUCAGAACAGUAAAGCAUCCAGUUUGUCAACUUUACCUUGUUGUCUCCACUGCCCUGUGAGGAAGAUUCACAUAGAUCUGAACUUAAAAAGUUCCUUUCAAACCUGAGCAAGAUACUUUCUAAGGAAUAUCAGAACUUAGUAUCAGUGAUGGAAUGACAAAAUGUUCUUUGGUGGCCAGUUCCAUUCCCUCAGUUCUGAGUUUAAAUUUUGCAGCCAGAAUUCAUUUUCAUCUCUAUAUUUCCCUUUCUUUCCAGAUUUCUGGUUCUGUUCUACUGCACAGUACCUUGAGCAAGUGUUUUCUUCUAUAGUCCCAGGUCGACCAACGCCUCAUCAUUGAAUGUGGUAGACAGAAACCGUGUGGGAGUCCAUCGUGUGUUUGUGUGUGUGUGCUCGACAACCGGUGUUGGUUUGUUUACGUCUCUAAUUUAGCGGUUCGACAAAAGAGAUGAUAGCAUGAGUACCAAAUUCAAAAAAAAAAAGUACUGGGGUCGACUCGUUCGACUAAACCCUUUAAGGUGGUGUCCCAGCAUGGCCGCAGUCCAAUGACUGAAAAGAGUAAGAGAUAAAGAAUAUGGUACGCAUUAUUGAAAUAUAAAUUGACCUCAGUACUUGACAAAAACAUAUUUUAUCAUUUACUUCCAAGAGGAAUGAAAAUAAAAGUUGACCUUGGUGUAAUUUGAACUCAGAACAUAAUAAAUGGUCGCAACUAAAUGCCACAUGUUAUUUUGUCUGAUGCGCUAUCGAUUUUGUCAACCCAAAUUCCCACAUUAAUAUUUAUAUAUAAGCAUUCACUGAUGCAGUCAUUCUUUCUCUCACCUUUUACUUUACAUCUCUCGCAUUCCUAUGAUUGUCUAUCUAUCCGUUUGUUUCAUUGUUUCUACGCCUGUCCAUGUGUCUUAUUCAUCUAUUUCUGAUAGGGUUACCUCCAUGAGAGGGUUAAGGAGGCCACUCACACAAGGAAGGACUCACUACAUUUGUCACUCCGCUACGCCGUAAUGUUCUUUCACGGUUCUGUCAACUUAUCUCUUUCUUUUUGCCAUUCAUUCCAUCCAUCCAUCUAUCCAUUCCUUUCUGUUUCGAUGGAUGUGGUGGGCGUUGUCAUUAUUCAUGUUUGAUUUACAUGGCUUAAUCACAGUUCUACAAAAACCUAGGAUUAUUAUUUACCAUCUCCGAAGAAUUGAAAGCUUAUGAAAGUUGAGGCCAGGAAAUCAAGUUCCAUUCGAUGUAGGAAGCAAGAACUUCAUAUUAACCUUCAAGGCAAAGAGGAAUUAACAGCGAAUUGAAACAAUACGGACUUUGAUCAAGGUUGAGUCCUGCGAGAAGCUUCUCUUCAAUUUGACUUGUUGAAUGAAUGCAACUGGAUAUAAGUGGUAUAUUAGGAAAGGAAAUGAAAAAAAAAUAAUAAUAAUAAAUAAAUAAAUGAAAUGAAUACCAUUAUGGAAAGGAAAAAAGAACUAAAAUCGCAAAACGUAAACACGCACAUACGCAUACACACACAAUCAAGUAUAUACAUAAUGAGAUACUAAUUAUAACAAUAUGUACAGGAGAGACAGAGAAGGAAGGAUGAUUACACUGAGAAAAGGAGAUACAAAAGGAGAAAAAGUCGAGGAAACAGAAAUGUAUAACAAAGAAUAGAAUAGAGAAAGAGCGAAAAAGGAGAAUGGAUCUAAGGAAUGAAAGAAAAAGAAACAAUAAAUCAAGGAAGAAAUUAUAAUGACAAUAACACAGGCACACACAAGAUAGAUAGAUAGAUAGAUUAGAUAGAUAGAUAGACAGAUAUAUAGAUAGAUAGAUAGAUAGAUAGAUAGAUAGAUAGAUAGAUAGAUAGAUAGAUAGAUAGUCGUGGUGAUAUGAUGAUGAUGAUGAUGAUGGUAAAGGAAGAAGCAGUGUAAGAAAAGACAAGAUACAGGGUCGCUUGAUUGAAAUGGAUCAGAUGAAAAGAAACAUUGACAGAUAAGUAAAUGGUCUUUAAGAAAGAAAACAGCUGAAUGAGAAUUUUGAGGAUUGGAUCAUAAUAGUUAAACAGGAAUCAUUGAAGCUUAGGUCUCCGAAAUGUAGGAGGGAGAAAAUUCAGUGAAGUGAGAAGUGAAAAUGAGACGAGAAAGAAAGAAUAAAAGAAACAGAAAUGAGAGUGAAAGAAGAAAACAGCACAAGUCAAUAAAAGAGGAAGAAAAAAACCCCAACUAAAUGGGACACGAAAACUGAAAAACAAAACUGAGAGACCCAAUAUUGAAAGUAGAAAUAAGAGAUGCAGCGAAACAUUAGAUUUUAAAAAAUGAAAUGAAAUAACUGCCAGCGAAAGAAUGAUAACGUAAGUAAUGAGCGAAUGGAAAUAAGAAGGCAGGAGAAACAAAGGGGAGGAAGUAAUUGGGAAGAGAAAGAAAGAUAGAAAUACUGACAGAGAGGGAGUGAUGAAAGAGGGCAAGGGAAAUGAUGAUAAAAAGUGAUAACGAGUUAAUAGAAGAAUAAAGUGGAGAGAGAAAGAGAGAGAGAGAUAGAAUGGCCGAAAAGAGACGUAUGUUAGAGAAAGAGAAAGAAAAAAACCCAAGAGAAAUGAGAGUAAGAUAAAGAAAGAAAAGAAGCUAAAUUAAAGAGAGGAUACACCGAAAGAGAAAUAUGAACAUGAGAGACAAAAAGGAAAGAGAAAUGAAAGAAGAAUUACAGAACACAAUAGAAAAGAGCACUUCAAUUACGAAGAAAAAGAAUAAGAUUAAUAGAGAAGUUAAAGGGAAAGAACAAUAAAGGGGGUCAGAGAGAGAGAGAGAGAGAGUAAAAUACAUUUAAAAAAAAAAUCAAUCAGAUUAAAGAUAGGAAAGAUGAUUAGUGAUAGAAGUGAUGAAUAAAGAAGCAAAGUGUGAGACAGAUCAAAAUGUGAGGAGUGUAUAUGUAUCCACAACCUACAACCCACCCAUAGUAAGAUUGAACAGCCUCUGCAAUUUAGUCAUAAGAGAACUAAUACUCUUCACUUAACUUUCGUUUUCUAUCUCUCUUUUUAUGUUUGUGGGUAAGGAGAGAGAGAAAGAGAGAGAGAGCUUCAUAUUCUCUAUUAUCUUCACCCCAAAAAGCGAAAAUAAAAAUAAAAAAAUAUAUCGAGAGAAAGGAAAGAGUUAAAUAGUCUUCAAAAUUUAAGAAUGCACUAUUAUUAUUGUUGCAAUUAUUGAAAGAGAUGUCACUAUCAAAACAAAAAUCACACCAAAAUAAUAACAUCAGUGUUGAUAGCUAAACUAACAUCAAUAACUACAAUAACAACGAAAUGCCAACUAGCUAAAGAGAGAGAGAAGGGGUUGUUGAGUGUGAGGGAGACUGGGUGAGUGAGAGAGCGACUGAAUGAUUGAGUAAAAGCGAGAGAGAUAGAUAAAUCGUAUAGAGUAGUUAACUCGAUCAUAUACGAAGAACAGACUCUAACGGCUGGCUUGAUUUGCAAUGGUUCCUGUUGAUGUUGUUGCUGUUGUAGUGGUUUCUCUUUCUUUUUCUUCGCCGUCGUAUACAUCGUCAUCGCUGAAGGAUUACUCUAUUGGAUGAUAUGAAUUCUUUGGCAGGUAGGUAAAUGAAUUUGAUUAGGGAUAACUGUUUGACAGUCACUUAAGGUCUGUCGCACAUACAUCUCCGACACAUACGCCUGUCUUUCAAGCCUUUUGUCUCUUCCUCACCCCUCUUUCCUCCCAAUAAACUGUCAAUCUGCUACAAUUGAAUUUUCUGAGCUUUAGUGAUUCUCAUCUUUAUCAAACCGUCCGACAAGCUAUUGACAUAACCAAGCUGCAAGUGUCUUGUUUCCAUCAACUAGAACAUGCUGCUAUCUGUCACAUAAGAACGAACUAUGCACGACCACAAUAAAACGCACGAACACAACUGGUGUGUUUUUGCCAAUCUUUGUUUAAAAUUCUCCAAAAUGUAUUUACCAUGUUUUUUUAACACUUUGUCCUGUUCAGACAAACAUCACUUGACUCAGUUUACUAGUGAUUAUAACGAUAAUAAUAGUAGUGGUGAUGAGUAGCAAGUCAACGAUGUAACUCCGGAGAUAAUGUUCACGCUAAUGAUGAAAACAAUAAUAUAUUACCUCUCUAGAUUGCAAUAGUGUUUUGACACACGUGUCAUAUACACAAAUAUGCAUAAGCAUACGAACAGACGAACGAAUGCAUUCAAACGCAUAUUUGCGUGGUGCGUGCGUAGUGUGUGCACUUAUGUAUUUUAAAAACACUCGUAUAUUUCAAUGGGAAAAAAAUCCGGCAGUGAGACUUUCGAUAUAUUUCAUGCAUAUUGCCAAUGAAAGAUCCCACUCUGACACGCACACAGAUUUAUAUAUAUAUCAUCACCAUCUCUCCCCCUCCCCUAUAUAUGUAUAUAUAUAUACAAACGUAUACAAGCAUAUAGAAGUAUAUUAUAUAAGCAUAUAUAUUUAUAUAUAUAUAUAUGUGGUGUAUUAAAAAAACACACACGCACACUCAUAAAUAUAUGCAUAAAUACGAGUAUGUAUGCUCAUAUAUAUGCAUAUAUAUAUAUAUAUAUAUAUAUAUAUAUAUAUACGUGUGUAUAAAUAUAACCAUGCCCAUGCUGUAUACAUAUAUAGGCAUAUUUAUAAAGAUAGCUAGCUAGAUAGAUAUAUAGACAUACAAUGUAAAUGUAUGCCUUCACACACAUACAUAUAUGUAUAUAUGUUUGUGUAUACAUAUAUAACUAUGUGAAUGAUGUAUAAAAAUAGGCAAAUAUCUGUAUAUAUGUGUAUGCGUGUGUGUGUUUGUGUAUAUACAUACAUACAUACAUAUAUAUAAUAUAUAUAUAUAUAUAUAUAUAUAUAUAUAUAUACACGUUUGCAUAUGUGUGUUUAUAUAUUUACUCCUUAUAGAUGUGUUUAUAUGCAUAUGUUUGUAUGUAAAUAUAUAUAUUGAUAAUUACAUAUCUAUACCUACGUAUAUGUGUGUAUGCGUGUGUGCGUAUGGUCAAAUACUUAAAAAGUUCAUAUCACAGUCGCAGUGUAUCUUUGAUGCCACUGCAUUGCAUGUUGGGCAAGUGUCUUUUAUCAUCGUCUUGUAUUGACUCAAACCUUGUGAGUGAAAAUGGGUAGACAGAUUGUCUACCCUUUGUCACAGUUCAAACUUUGCCACACAUCAUGUCAUGCUUUUUCAACCUGAUGAUUUCGUUGAUGGCUCAUGUACUUGUGGAAUGCACACCUACUUACAUGCUAAUUCAAUCAGUAAGGAAUUCAGUCCUUUGAUAAAUUGAAUUCUCAUCUCACAACCCGUGGAAAUUGAUUUAUACAUCAUCAUCAUCAUUAUCGUUUUAACAUCUACUUUCCAUGCUUGUUUGGGUCAGAUGCAAUAUGUGGCAUAGAUUUUUAUGGACGGAUGCCCUCCUUUCACAAACCAACCACCACUCGUUUUCAAGCAAGAUAAUAUUUCACCACUGUCAGGCAGGUUUUCACUGAAGAUUGGAAAUGAACAAUACUGCUUGUAUGAUGGUGGUGCUUGUUUACAACAAUAACGUGAUUUUAAGAUAAAGAGACACAAUCACACACAUAUAUACAUAUCAUCAUCCUCAUCAUCAUUUAACGUCCGUUUUUCAUGCUAGCAUGGGUUGGACAGUUCAACCGGGGCCUGGGAAGACAGGAGGCUGCACCAGGCUUCACUCUGAUCUGGCAAUGUUUCCACAGCUGGAUGCCCUUCCUAACGCCAACCACUCCGUGAGUGUAGUGGGUGCUUUUUACGUGCCACCGGCACAGGGGCCAGAGAAGGCUUGCAACGUCCAUGAUCGGUUGGUGCUUUUUACAUGCCACAGGCACCGACGCCAGUCAAGGCAGCACUAGCAUCGGCCAUGUUCAGAUGGUGUUUUUUUACAUGCCACCAGCAUGAUUAUCACAACUACAAUUUCCAUUUCAUUUUUAUUUUGAUGUUGAUGUACUUGACUCAAUAGGUCUCAUUAAGCACAGCAGGUCGCCCUACAAUCCAAGGUAAGCACGGCCGGCCGUCCUGCGAGCCAUGAACUCACUUUAUUUGUCGGGUCUUCGCAGUCACAGCAUAUCUCCAGAGGUCUUAGUCUUUCAUCAUUGUCUCUGUGAGGCCUAACGUUCGAAGGUCAUGCUUGACCACCUCAUCCCAUGUCUUCCUGGGUCUAUCUCUACCCCAGAUUUCUUCAACUGUUUGGGAGUGGCACACACAUAUACAUACAUAAGUACAUGUGUAUGUGUGUGCGUGUUCAUCAUCAUCAUUGUUUAAUGUCUCUUUUUUCAUGCUAGCAUAGGUUGAAUUGUUUGGCAUAAACUGACAAAUCAGAGGACUGUACUGAGUUCCAGUGUCUGAUUUAGCAUGGUUUCUACAGCUUGAUGCCUUUCUUAAUGCCAAUCACUUCACAGUGUGUUGUUGUUUUUUUCCUUCUCGAGCCUUGCCUGGCUCAUAAGGGCUGGUUUCCCACUUUCAUUGGCAUAUAGGUUCCCCACCUGGAUGGAAUGCUGGUCUGUCACUGGUGAGCUGCUUGAUACAGGAGGAAAGAGUGAGAGAAAGUUGUGGCAAAAGACUCAGCAGAAGUUCGCCAUUAUCUUCUGCAGGAGCCAUGUGGAGCUUAGGUCUUUCACUCAUAAGCACACACAUCACUUGGUUCGAACCCGCAAUCACUCGACUGUGAGUCUGCUGCUCUAACCACUAGGCCAUGUGCCUCCACUCUUCCCAGUGUACUGGGUGCUUUUUUUCAUGGCACCAGCAAGACAAGCUCCCUCAACUGAGGGAGAUAUAGUUUUGAGGGAUAUAAAAGUAUUAUAGAAGGAGAGGACAAGAGUCUUGCUGAAAAGGUGAAUACAUAGCUUCCCCAUCAAGAAAGAAAGAGAGAGAGAGAGAGAUGUGAGGUCAAGGUACAAGGUGAAUAUGAGGGAUAGAAAUAGGAUAGAAGAGCAGGAAUGUUGGGUAACUAUGUAAGUGGGCUACAGUGAAAUUAAUAUGAGAGAUGAUUAGAGAUGGAUAUUGCGUUGGAUGCAAGGAGAGGAAAUGAAGGAAAGGAAAUAACAAGGAGGAGGAAGUGACAAAAGAUUGUAGUAGGAUUAUAAUAAGAGGAUAAGUGGUAUCACUUACAACAUCUGAGUGAGUAGUGUCACAGAUGAUUGAUGGAGGGAUGGAGAAGAUAAGUUGUGGGAUGAUGGAAGAUUUGACAGGACCUCAGCAUUACUGAGAUGAAUGGGUCUCCUCAAGCACAAUACAGUACCAUUUGUCUCGGUUUCCCAUUAUCUCUUCCAAGAAGCUCAACAUCUUAUGGUCAGCUUCUACCACUUCAUCCCACAUCUUCCUGAGUUGCCCUCUUCCACAUUUAGCAAUUGGCUUGUCUUUAUACAACUGUCCUCAUCCAUCUUCAUCAUAUGACCAUAGCAGCAGUCUUCUCUCCUGCUCACCAUAUCUGAUGCCUCUUAUGCCCAAUUUUUCUCUCGUGUCUUCUGUCCUACAUGCACAUUGAUGUUGCACACCCAGUGGAGUAUGAUACCUUCAUUCCUUUCUAGUCUCCACAUGUUCUCUGCAUUAACAACCCAAAUUUAACUACUAUUUAACAUUGUUGUUUGUACACAGGCAUUGUACAAUCUGCCCUUCACUCUGAGAGAGAGGUGCCUUUUGUUAUCAACAGAGGUAAUAGUUCUCUGAACUUUCUUCAAACAUUGCUUAUUUUAGCAACUAUACUUUCAGCACAUCUCUCCCCACUGCUAAUUAAAUCACCUAAGUAACAGAAACUAUCUACUACCUCUAAGGAUCAUCUUGGAUGUUCCAGAAAAUUUACUAUAUACUUUUGGUGUUUAUUGCAUCUGUGCACCUGCCACAAAUAAUAUCUACUGUCUCUCUUAACCUUCCUGUGAUUCCACUACACCUCUUACGUGUUCAUAGUUAGCGCUGUGUAUAGCAUAUAGAAUUUCUACCAACACUCUUUCUACAUAUUGAACAGGGUCAUUUAUCUGAGCGAUUAACACUCUGUCUAUUUUCCUGCUAACUAGAACUUUGGUCUUUCCUAAGUUAACUUCAAGGCCUUUACUCCAGGUUUGUUUCCACACAUGGAAUUUCAUUUCUAAUUCUGCUACAGUUUCAGCUGUGAGAACAAGUUCAUCAGCAUAGAGGAGUUCCCAUGGCCAGUCCAUCUAAGCCUCCUCUAUUAUGACAGGAGGACUAUGAUAACUAAGAGGAAACAGAUAACCGAACCUUUAUGAACUCCUACCUGCACACUAGAUUUAUUACUAUAUGCAUUUUUAACACUCAUCUUAAGGACAGCAUCCUUAUAAAUUGUUUGUUUAAACACCUCUCACUAGCCAUUUAUCUACUUCUAGCUUCUGAAGUAACCUCACAAUUAGGGAGCAAGGCAUCCUUUCCAGUUCAGUGAAUGCCAAGUAUAGUGGUUUACGUUUUGCUAAAUUCUUCUCCUGCAGUUGCUGAACUCUGAAGAAAUCAUCCCUUUGGCUCAAAACCAAACUGCAUCUAAUCUAGGUUAAACUUCUUCCUAAUUAAUUAAGCUUGACUCUUUUGAUGACUUUCAUAAGCUGGUCCAGUAAUAUGAUACCUCUGUUAUUACUUCUCACUAAGGUAUCUCCUUUACCCUACUAACAGUUGACUAUGAUGAUAUUACAUGAGUCACUUAGUAUGAUAGCUUCCUGUACAACAUAAUGAACUGUAUGGGUGACUAGGCUGUAUCAUACUCUACCAGAUAUUUUAAACAUUUCAGCAGUAAUCCCUGAUGGACCAGAAACAUUCUGUGUCUUCACAUUUUGAUUGCUUUGUCUAUCACACUGCUAUUAUCAAGAAUGGCUGAACCUUCUGUUUGAUUCACAUUAGAAUGACUCUCUUUCUCCACAUUUAGUAGCUUUUCAUAAUAACAUUUCCAUGUCUCUUUUCAGAAUCACUGAGUGUGAGUGUGCCAUUAUCCUUCUCCACACACUUCUCUCCCACAACAUCUUGAUUUUCUCUGAUACACUGCCCUAUAAUCCAGGACACCUAUGCCUUCAGUCCACAUGACAUAGAACAUUGGCACACCUCUUCUUUUCUGCUUCUCCUUUUGCUAAAUAUACCUGUCUCUUAGUUUUUAAUUUCUCUUCUAAUUGCCUGAUAUACUUCUCUGUGCUCCCAUAUUUCCAAACCUUCCAAGCCUGCCUUUUAUCUUUUAUGGCUCUAUCUAUUUCACUGCUCCUCUGCCAUGUCACCUUUGGUUUGGCUGUAACUGUGCAUCAGCCACGAAUUUGAAUGUUGCCCUCAAUAGGUUGUCCAGAAGGAACUUUCAGUUCUCAACAUAAGUCUCUGUCUCUUCUUCCUUGUCAAAUGCUUCAAUUAGUAUAUCUCUAAAUUUCUGACUGUUCAUUGAACCUUUUAAGUGUCCAUAAGUUCCUUUUACAGACUGGUUUGCAUUUCUGAGUCCUUUUAACCCUAAGUUUGAAGUCACUACCCACUUAACUAUGUUGUUCUGUACACUCCUCACCUGGGGAAAGACUUUGCAUUCACAGCAUCCGCCUAUCCCAUUUUCUAGUGAGAAUGUAAUCAAUCUGGCUAAUUAUUUUUCACGUAUUUUUGUCAGGCCUCACAUAAUCUACUUUCAGAUUUCAUAUCUCACUAUUGUACAACAGAGGAAAAUUUCUUUUCUACUCGUUUCUUACUCUUGCUACAGUCCACUCAGUAUGACCACCUCUAACACUCAGUUGAUCAUAAACUACUACAUCUGAUGUGCAUGGUUUUCAUUUCAUAGUUGCAAUUUCUAUUAACUAUUCCUGUAAUCUGUUACAUUGGAUGCCCUGAUUUUUCUGUCAGUCUGCCAAAAAUGCUAUUGCAUCUUUUGUGUACCUAUUGCUUGCACUUAGCAUGCAUUAUUGAGCUUUUACUUACUUCUUCCUACAGAGUGAAAAAGGCCAUUUACCAGAUAAGUCUUGAGUAUCGUGAUCUUGUUUACAAAAUUUGAUCUUUAAUAUGUCAGCCUUUAAUCCUUUGAACAUAAGUUCAUUCUUUCAGGUUUGGAACAUUUCUUUCAACUCUUUGACAGAUUCUUCAAGGGUAUAUAAAGUAAGGAUCUAAUAUUGCAAAAGUUUAAGGAUCAAGAAUGAUCAUGGAAUCCAAUCAGUUAGUCAUCUAUACAUUGUUGCUAUCUUAAUAAUAUGCAUCUGGAAUGAUGCAUAAUUACUCAUGUGGAUUUCCAGGUCUUGCAUUGGCUCUAACUCCAGAACUGCAAUAUAUUCCACCCCCAACUCAGUUCUGUGUAUUCUGAUUACAAUCUGUACCUUAUUAUGUACCUUAUUUAUAUAUUAUGUACCUUAUUUUGUACCUUAUUUAUAUAUAAAUUGCCAAGAAGGCUGAGGGUGUCUUGGCAUCACUCACCAAGUCCUUUGUGAGCUGCUCUCCGGCUAUCUAUUUGCGGCUUUAUAUAGCUAUGGUGCGACCUCACCUGGAAUUUGCAUCACCAGUCUGGAACCCCUAUCUUGCCCAAGAUAUUAAUCGUCUGGAAGCCGUUGAGCGACAUGCAACCAAGAGAAUACCCCCCCCCCCCAUCAGGCAUUUGCCAUAUUCUGAACACCUUACUUCCCUGAGCAUGGAUACAUUAAAACUCCGACGUCUGGCAGCUGACUUGGCAGACACCCAUAAAAUUAUUAACCAUCUUACAAACAAUAACUCUGAGCACCUUUUCAAACAGCACCUGUCUAACACCCGUGGACAUGUUUACAAAGUCAGAAAACAGCACAGCUCCCAUGACUUUUGGAAACAUUUUUUCAUGCUAAGUAUGGAACAAACUGCCGGCAUCAGUUGUUAGCUGUCGGGGCAUUGCAUCCUUCAAAACUUCCAUGCUUCCUGAGAUUCGCCAACACUACAUCUGAUUUUCUCCCCUCCAUACACACGCAAGCAUGUAUCUGACUCAUACACUGUUCACUUUCCAGACUUUUGUACAUUACUGCAUAUGCUUUAUACACAUUUUUGACAAGUUGCAGUGCACCUGAGCACUGUAUACAAUAAUUUCAUUAUUAUUAUUACUACAAUUAGCCGUCAUUUUUGAUGGCACGGGGCCAGCUUGUAUUUGUAUAACUCGGCUCAUUAGUUUAGGAUUUCUCUGACUGUUCUUCUCCAGUGCAUUUUGUUGCAGUUGUAACAGUUUGCAAAGAUACUCUGAGUUACUAAAUUAGACAUAACACCUUCCUGCACUGCUUGAUUAAUUUAGUCUCACAAUUUAGUACUCACAAUGCAUUUAUAAAGCCUGAUGCUUCUAGCUUCUUGUUUUGAUACCAUGGUGGUUCUGCAGUUGUCCCUACCUUCAUUCUCUAAUUACUUUAAUGACUCUGCUUAAACCAGCCUUUAUAGCUGUUUUUAUUUUUCUCUCCCAUUUCAACUCAUGUUCUCACAAAUCCAUCCAUAUUCCUUAUAUUCAAGAACUUUUCAUAGCAACACUCUCAAAAUGUUAUCUUCUCACUUUGACAGAAGGAAAAUGUUCUUAUGUUGUUUCAGACAUAUUUCUCAUCAAUAACAUACCAAUUCAUGCAGAGAAGUUUUUGAAAUGCAGAAUACUUGAUAUCAUUCAUUUUGAUGGCACAAAAUAUUAACAAUCCCAAACUUCUUUCCAGACAAAAGAAAUUUGAUAAUUUGCUUUUCUACUGUUACUCAUUGCCUCCUUCUUUUUUUCAAGCUUUUCCCGAAAUUUUUUUAGUGUUGUUCACUACACUAGUCCUCUAUAGUUUUAUUCCAUGCUCAUAUUAGUUGCUUACUGUAAGUUGUCUCUCAGGAACCUCUAGUUUACUUCUGUGUUCUAAUCUUCCAUCUCUGUUUUCCUAAGUAAACAUCUGGCUACAUCUAAAUAAUAAUUGUUGUUUAAACUUAGGUUAACUUUGACUGAACAGACCUCUGAUCAAAAGCUUCCAAUCUUGGCUAUUUCAGCUGUGAUUUGUGAUCAAAGGCAUUCCACCCAUGGCCAUUCUAUUAUUUUUUUAGACAACGGUAUAUGGGAUUACAUCAUCUGAAGUGUUUCCCAAGACAACAAAGUGUAAUUUGAGGGAGAUUUAGUUACUAUUUUUAAUGGGCCAACUGAUUGCUUAACAGCUCCCUCAUUGACUCAUUGGCACAUUAUCCCUUAUCUCAUGAGCUUUAAACUUUCCUAUCUUCCUUUUCCUUUUUGAAAUCCAGAGUGUAUCAAAGUAUUCUAUUCCCAUUAAUAUCCACUCUUUUAGGCAUUGGCUAAAACUUCAAUUGUAGACAAAUAUAUUCUUGGACUUUCUCAAUACAAUUACUGAAGUUGUUAGUUAUCAGAAUGAUAUUACUUUCAUCUUAUGUUUAUUGUUGUUAUUGUUCAGCUUUAGGUCAAACCCACUUGAGUGGAUCUAUUAGCUUAGGUAUUCCAGACAUGGCCAUCCUGUCUAUUAUUCAAACAUAGUUUGAAUAAUAGUCAGGACAUAUUUUUUCUAGCAGACUGAGUAACCAUACAGAGAUUCUUUCUUCAGCUUGGACUCCUUCAAUGUUGUUUCAGGUAGCAGUAGCAGCAGCAGCAGCAGCAGUAAUUGCAGCAGCAGCAGUAGCAGCAACAAUAUUAGCAUUAGUAGUAUCCACUAUGUCCUUCCAUUUUUUUAAGAUGGUAAAGUGGAACUUGACAGAGAUUUGUUGACUAUUUCUAGCAGUACGAGCAAUUGCAUAAAAGUUCACAUAUUUGCUCUAAAUGUAGUAAUUUCCUUAGGUAGCUUUUACCAGAGCCUCAUAGAACUUUCUCUUACUCACUUGUUAACUUUCUUUUGGUGGAUGUAAGCCCAGGAAGCAGAUGGUGUUACAUUACCAGUCAUUGAACUGAAUUUAAUUAUUCUUUCACUUAGCCUAACUAUUUAUGACUCCAUCUAACAUUUCUGCUAAGAUUAUACCCAAACUACUCAUACAGGACACAUUAGUUAUCUAAAAGAAACAUAAUAAUGACAGUUUCAAAUUUUGGCACAACGCCAGCAAUUUUGGGAGGAAAAGUAAGUCACUUAUAUCAACCCCAGUGCUCAACUGGGACUUAAUUUAUCGACCCUGACAAGAUGAAAAGCAAAGUCAACCUUGGCAGAAUUUGAACUCAGAACAUAAGGACUGACAAAAUGCCGCUAAGCAUUUUGUCUAGUGUGCUAAUGAUUCUGCUGGCAUAGCUGUAUGGUAAGAAGCUUGCUUCCCAACCACAUGAUUCUGGGUUCAGUCUCACUGCAUGGCACCUUGGGCAAGUGUCUUCUACUAUAGUCUCUGUGAGUGGAUUUGGUAGAUGGAAAUCGAAAGAAGCCUGUCAUGUGUGUGUGUGUUUGUCCCUUCAUCACUGUUUGACAACCGAUGUUGGUGUAUUUACAUCCUCCAUAAUGUAGUGAUUCUGCGAAAAAGAUCUGUAGAAUAAGAAGUACUAGGCUUAAGAAACAAGUCCUGAGGUCGAUUUUCUCAGCUAAAACACUCCAAGGCGGUGUUCCAGCAUGGCCACAGUCAAAUGAUUGAAACAAGUAAAAGGAUAAAGGUAAUUAUGAACCAGAAUCCUUGUCUGGGAUCAGAUCGAUCUCAAAAUCUAAUCAGCUCAUGUCAGUCAUGAGGCCAAACAUCCCUGAAAGUUUGAUCUUAAUCCAUCCAGCGGUUCUUAAGAUAUCUUGUCCACAGAUAAACAAGCAAACAUGACUGUAAACAAUACCUCCACCUCUGCUUAGGUGGAGGUAAUAAAUAACUGUGGAUUCCUUUGUGCUGUUCUCCUUUCAGGACAGAAGGAUGUGGUUUAACCCUUUAGCAUUUAAACCGGCCAUAUCCGGCCAAAAGUAUUCUGCCUGUUUUAUGUUCAAACUGGCCAGAUCUGGUCUCUCACACCAGCCCUACAAUAUCGUUUUAAAAAUUAACAGCUACCUCAUCAAAAUCUCAUAGCUACAAGAUAAUGCAUGAUUAGCUCAAAACAAUGUAGAUGAAAAAGCAUUAAUUUUGGCAGAAUAAUGAAAACACUAAAGGGUUAAGGAAAAUUUGGCUUCUAUUUCUAUCAGGCUAAGUGACUGUAGAAGCUCCCUAUAAAGGGAAAAAUUCUGGCUGGUGGUGAUGGUAAUUAUUUUGAGAUUGAUGGCUUGAUGUGACAGUUGUUCAAGUCUGAUACCACCAAUAACAUGACAGAUUUUACACCUUUAUAAAUUAUACAGCAGGUGUUACAAUUCUAUCUGCUAUACUUCAUUAUUAUUCAUCCAUAGAAUUAGAACAAUUAAAAUAGACUGCAUGCAUUUAUUGUGGAACUAGAAGCUGUCUUGAAAAAUGAAGAGCUCCUUUACUAAGACAAGGUGUAAGAUUUUAAGGAAACUCUCAGAUCAGGUUCCCCACCUCUCCCCCCAAAAAAAUCAGACUCAAAGAAAAAUCUCAGAUUAUGAAAACAUCAAGUUUAAAUAGAAAUAUAAUGGUAUUUUGCUCACUUUUUUAUGAAGAUGACAAUGAUUAUUUCUUUUCUUCAAUUUCACUUGAAAGAGUAAGUCAUUCACUAUUUUCUUUUUGUUCUUUUUGUUUUUAAAAAAUUGAUUCCAACUAUCUUUUGCUUAAAGCAUCUUCUAGGUUCUCAUGCAGUGUAUUCCAUAUUAUUUCCAGUAAAAGAUUGGUUUGCAAGUAAUCUGUAUUUGCUUUUUAAAGAUUUGGCAUUUUUUUUUUUUGACAGUUCAUUUGAAUUUUGUGUCUUUUAACUUAUACCAGUAUUCAGGAAUAUUUUCUCCUGAAAUUGUGAAAUUGUCAAGAAUAAUUCCUCCAGUGGUCAAAGUUAAUCAUACUGGUUUCUGAUGCAACAGAUAGGAUGAAAUGUAACUUCUUUCUUACUGGGAUGCAACAUUUUAUUAGGAAUUUAAAACAAUUAGUUCUAAUGCUCAUUUAUCUCCAACAGCUAAUUAAUUAAAUGUGUUGUUGCCUUUUUUUACUCAAGGUAAAUAUAAUUUAUGCUUUUAUAAUUACUUUCAUUGCUUGGAUCAAUUUCUGAUAGUAUAAUGUUCAUUCAUUUUUUAAUACAGAAAUUUGGGAGAGUUUUGUAUUUUGAUGGUAUUAAGUACAGACAAUGUGACCUGAAACACAGACAACGUGACCUGAAAUGCUCAGAUUGAAAUUCAGCAUUCAAUAAAUUAGCUUUCUGUUGUGCAUACUGAAGGAAAAGUAGCAUGUGUUUAGUUCUGCAUUUGCUUAAUGUGUCAAGCUCUCCUGGCACCAUCAUCUUUCAAUUCAUUUUAGAAAUAAAGAAGUAAAGCAUUGAAUUGUUGUAUUAUCACAGGAACAAUUGCUUCUUGAGAAAGCUAUCUUGUUUGUUCAAGCUUAGACAUUUUGUGACAAGUUGUCACAAUCUUUUCCUAUAUAAGUUUGAAGUAUUGUUUCUUGUUACUGCAAGAUAAGUAAAGUGUUAAAUCUUUUAAGAGAGAUUCUAAAUAUGAGGGCAAUAUGCUGACAUCAUGAUUAGUGCAAACUAAAAGAAUGCUAGUUGCAUUCCAUAAUAAAAACAGAUGGCACAUCAUCUCUCAAUAAUUUAUGAAACCCAUUUUUGGUGCCCAUCAUUGAGGAACAUUUAUUGCUUGUGAAUCCAGUAGUUUCUGAAGGAAUAUUUCUUUCUCACAAAAUAGAUUUGACAGCAUUGUAACAUUCAAGAGCCAUUCUAUUUUCAACAACCAUGCAUCUAUGAUAUCAAAGUUUCUCACAACUGUAGCUUAAAUUUGGGUAACUGAAAUAUCUGUACUUUCAUCAGUUAUGAUAGCAAACUUUUGUAUCUUGCGGAUAUCCAUUAGCACUAUUUUUUCAUGAAUGGCACUUCCAUUUUGAAUAACAUAUCAAUGUUUUGUUCAUUUCAUUGAUAAUUUUUCAGGAAUAUUGCCGUCCAGAAAUACUC